CCCGGCGCUGGGAGCGCCGGGCUAAGUUAUUUCGGCCCUCCGGGGCG
Molecule: non-coding RNA, 47 nt
Organism: Chloroflexi bacterium 13_1_40CM_55_7
Lineage: Bacteria; Bacillati; Chloroflexota
Source: Rfam